GAAUUGGGCUCCUCUGAUAGCUGGGAUACUUGGAAUAAUUUUAGUGUUAUUUCUAGUUGGAGGAGGAGUAACACUGUACAAAUCAGGGUUCUGUUCAAAGAAAAACAACUCCAGUAAACCAGGAAUGGCCACUGCAGCAAACAGAAGAAAGUGAAGUUGUUCAGAAACAAAUUCCUGCUCAGAUUUUCAUAAAUUGUUAAACCAAUUAACAACAUUUUGCACAGGAUUAAAUACCUCACCUCAGCCUGUUGAGCAGAGAUCAGACGGUGAAGAUGUGACAGCUGGUGUUUUCAGAGCAAAAUGAGAAGGCUGUUAAGCCCAUGAAAUAUCAUCCACUCAUGACCCCUAAUUGCUUAUCCUAAAGUAGAGUUCCUGCAGUCUGGAGCCCAUCCUGGAAGCACAAGGCACCAGGCUACUCAAUGUUCACCCUGGACAGGAUGACAGUCCAUCACAGGAGAGUGACACACGCACGAAGGGCAAUUAAGUGUCACCAAUCUACCCGAAACAUGCUUUUGGACUGUGGGAGGAAACCUGAGCACCUGCAGGAAACCCACACAAACAUGGGAAGAACAUGCAAACUCCAAGAGUGAACUAAGCAAACCUACAUCGCAUUGUACAGUCCAGGUGCUGGAAGUUGUACCUGCUGACACCCUCUGCUGAAGCAUUAUUUGGUGAAAUGUUUUCCUGGAAGGGGGUGCGGUGGCGCAGUGGG
This is a long non-coding RNA of Scleropages formosus (Asian bonytongue), 712 nucleotides long. RefSeq lists it as uncharacterized. The transcript has 3 exons. The record is from RefSeq and is a predicted model, not a curated record. Lineage: Eukaryota; Metazoa; Chordata; Actinopteri; Osteoglossiformes; Osteoglossidae.